GUAUGGAUAUAUGGAUGGAAUGGAUUUGCACGGCUAAGAGAUGAAAGUGUAUGGAUUGGUGAGAUGUAGUAUGGCUAGAUGAAUGGAUGGAGGUCACGACAAGGAAAAUGUGUUUGUGAAUGAAGUUGUGAGAUGUGAAAUGUAGUGUCUUUGGAUGAUGGCCCCCAAAUUAUGGUGAAGGGUGGAUGUAUUUAUAGGCUAGGGAGAGGAGUGUAUGGAGUUGUAAUGAGUGGAUGUAAUGGGUGUAGUGGGU
This 253-nucleotide long non-coding RNA is filed under the name Malus domestica (apple). RNAcentral describes it as "long non-coding RNA (MDOM_LNC000162)". The record is from RNAcentral. Lineage: Eukaryota; Viridiplantae; Streptophyta; Magnoliopsida; Rosales; Rosaceae.